RNAcentral lists this unclassified non-coding RNA (155 nucleotides) under soil metagenome. RNAcentral's name for it is "partial internal transcribed spacer 1". The record is from RNAcentral.
AAAAUUAAUGAAUUGUCGGGGGGCGCGCGGACGCGCGGAGGGUUACUUUUUUUCCCUUCUCUGACCGUCCGCCGUCUUACCCGUGUAUUCAAACCAACCCGCUCUUGUAUUUGUAUCAACCAAAAAAUAAAUUAAAAAAAUAACAAUGUAGAAAA